Molecule: ribosomal RNA, 253 nt
Filed under: uncultured bacterium
Lineage: Bacteria
Description: partial 16S ribosomal RNA
Rfam family: Bacterial small subunit ribosomal RNA
Source: RNAcentral
UACGUAGGGUGCAAGCGUUAAUCGGAAUUACUGGGCGUAAAGCGUGCGCAGGCGGUUUUGUAAGCCCGAUGUGAAAGCCCCGGGCUUAACCUGGGAAUGGCAUUUGGGACUGCAAGGCUUGAGUGCGGCAGAGGAGACUGGAAUUCCUGGUGUAGCAGUGAAAUGCGUAGAUAUCAGGAGGAAUACCGAUGGCGAAGGCAGGUCUCUGGGCUGACACUGACGCUCAUGCACGAAAGCGUGGGGAGCAAACAGG